Molecule: ribosomal RNA, 1053 nt
Filed under: uncultured Actinomycetes bacterium
Lineage: Bacteria; Bacillati; Actinomycetota; Actinomycetes
Description: bacterial SSU rRNA
Rfam family: Bacterial small subunit ribosomal RNA
Source: RNAcentral
GACGGCCUUCCGGGUGUAACCUCUUUUGUCAGGGAAGAAGCCUUCGGGUGACGUACCUGGAGAAAAAGCACGGCUAACUACGUGCCAGCAGCCGCGGUAAUACGUAGGGUGCAAGCGUGUCCGGAAUUAUUGGGCGUAAAGAGCUCGUAGGCGGCUUGUCGCGUCUGCUGUGAAAACCCGAGGCUCAACCUCGGGCCUGCAGUGGGUACGGGCAGGCUAGAGUGCGGUAGGGGAGAUUGGAAUUCCUGGUGUAGCGGUGGAAUGCGCAGAUAUCAGGAGGAACACCGAUGGCGAAGGCAGAUCUCUGGGCCGCUACUGACGCUGAGGAGCGAAAGCAUGGGGAGCGAACAGGAUUAGAUACCCUGGUAGUCCAUGCCGUAAACGUUGGGAACUAGAUGUAGGGCCUGUUCCACGGGUUCUGUGUCGUAGCUAACGCAUUAAGUUCCCCGCCUGGGGAGUACGGCCGCAAGGCUAAAACUCAAAGGAAUUGACGGGGGCCCGCACAAGCGGCGGAGCAUGCGGAUUAAUUCGAUGCAACGCGAAGAACCUUACCAAGGCUUGACAUAUACGAGAACACUGCAGAGAUGCAGGACUCUUUGGACACUCGUAUACAGGUGGUGCAUGGUUGUCGUCAGCCCGUGUCGUGAGAUGUUCGGUUAAGUCCGGCAACGAGCGCAACCCUCGUCCUAUGUUGCCAGCACGUUAUGGUGGGAACUCAUGGGAUACUGCCGUGGUCAACACGGAGGAAGGUGGGGAUGACGUCAAAUCAUCAUGCCCCUUAUGUCUUGGGCUUCACGCAUGCUACAAUGGCCGAUACAAAGGGCUGCGAUACCGCGAGGUGGAGCGAAUCCCAAAAAGUCGGUCUCAGUUCGGAUUGGGGUCUGCAACUCGACCCCAUGAAGUCGGAGUCGCUAGUAAUCGCAGAUCAGCAACGCUGCGGUGAAUACGUUCCCGGGCCUUGUACACACCGCCCGUCAAGUCAUGAAAGUCGGUAACACCCGAAGCCGGUGGCCUAACCCCUUGUGGGAGGGAGCUGUCGAAGGUGGGGCUGGA